This 778-nucleotide ribosomal RNA is filed under the name uncultured Neocallimastigales. RNAcentral's name for it is "partial large subunit ribosomal RNA". It matches the Rfam family "Eukaryotic large subunit ribosomal RNA", at positions 24 to 627 of the family's 3401-position model. The record is from RNAcentral. Lineage: Eukaryota; Fungi; Neocallimastigomycota; Neocallimastigomycetes; Neocallimastigales.
UAUCUCUGUAGAGUCUGCAUAUCAAUAAGCGGAGGAAAAGAAACUAACAUAGGAUUCCCUCAGUAACGGCGAGUGAAGCGGGAAGAGCUCAAAUUUGAAAUCUUCAAGGUUCUACCUUGACGAAUUGUAGUUUAAAGAAGUGUUUUCUGUUGGAUGUUUUGGUAAAAGUUCUUUGGAAUAGGACAUCAUAGAGGGUGAGAAUCCCGUAUUUGACCAUUACUUUCCAGCUUUGUGAUACACUUUCAAAGAGUCGGAUUGUUUGGGAAUGCAGUCCAAAAUGGGUGGUAAAUUUCAUCUAAAGCUAAAUACUUGGCGAGAGACCGAUAGCGAACAAGUACCGUGAGGGAAAGAUGAAAAGAACUUUGAAAAGAGAGUUAAACAGUACGUGAAAUUGUCAAAAGGGAAGCGUUUGACACCAGUGUUGUUUUCUCGAAAAUCAAUUAAAAAAGGCAGGAUUUUGUGUUGUAUUGACUUUAUCAGCUUUCUGCACUCUUUUCUUGUCUUUUUUAAUGCACUUUUCGUUUAACAAGUCAACAUCAAUUUCUUUUGUUGCAAAAGGGUCAUUGGAAGGUGGCUUUCUUUUCGGAGAAAGUGUUUAUAGCCUUUGGCCUCUGCAAUCGGAGAGAUUGAGGUCUGCAGCGUAGAUCCUUCGGGGUUAGAUACAUUUGUGCUAAGUUAUAGCCUUUCAUAGACAACUUGUUGACUAUGAUCAGUCAUGUAGCUUACUCGCUUAUGCUAUUUUACCUACGCUUAGGAUGUUGACGAUCAGCUGAGCGCG